This 499-nucleotide ribosomal RNA is filed under the name uncultured bacterium. RNAcentral describes it as "bacterial SSU rRNA". It matches the Rfam family "Bacterial small subunit ribosomal RNA", at positions 28 to 507 of the family's 1533-position model. The record is from RNAcentral.
GAUGAACGCUGGCGGCGUGCCUAAUACAUGCAAGUCGAGCGAAUGGAUUGAGAGCUUGCUCUCAAGAAGUUAGCGGCGGACGGGUGAGUAACACGUGGGUAACCUGCCCAUAAGACUGGGAUAACUCCGGGAAACCGGGGCUAAUACCGGAUAACAUUUUGAACUGCAUGGUUCGAAAUUGAAAGGCGGCUUCGGCUGUCACUUAUGGAUGGACCCGCGUCGCAUUAGCUAGUUGGUGAGGUAACGGCUCACCAAGGCAACGAUGCGUAGCCGACCUGAGAGGGUGAUCGGCCACACUGGGACUGAGACACGGCCCAGACUCCUACGGGAGGCAGCAGUAGGGAAUCUUCCGCAAUGGACGAAAGUCUGACGGAGCAACGCCGCGUGAGUGAUGAAGGCUUUCGGGUCGUAAAACUCUGUUGUUAGGGAAGAACAAGUGCUAGUUGAAUAAGCUGGCACCUUGACGGUACCUAACCAGAAAGCCACGGCUAACUACGUG